This 866-nucleotide ribosomal RNA is filed under the name Promicromonospora sp. AP36ys. RNAcentral describes it as "bacterial SSU rRNA". It matches the Rfam family "Bacterial small subunit ribosomal RNA", at positions 387 to 1264 of the family's 1533-position model. Lineage: Bacteria; Bacillati; Actinomycetota; Actinomycetes; Micrococcales; Promicromonosporaceae. The record is from RNAcentral.
UGCAGCGACGCCACGUGAGGGAUGACGGCCUUCGGGUUGUAAACCUCUUUCAGCAGGGAAGAAGCGCAAGUGACGGUACCUGCAGAAGAAGCGCCGGCUAACUACGUGCCAGCAGCCGCGGUAAUACGUAGGGCGCAAGCGUUGUCCGGAAUUAUUGGGCGUAAAGAGCUCGUAGGCGGUCUGUCGCGUCUGGUGUGAAAUCCCAUGGCUCAACUGUGGGCUUGCAUCGGGUACGGGCAGACUAGAGUGCUGUAGGGGAGACUGGAAUUCCUGGUGUAGCGGUGGAAUGCGCAGAUAUCAGGAGGAACACCGAUGGCGAAGGCAGGUCUCUGGGCAGUUACUGACGCUGAGGAGCGAAAGCAUGGGGAGCGAACAGGAUUAGAUACCCUGGUAGUCCAUGCCGUAAACGUUGGGCACUAGGUGUGGGGCGGGUUCCACUCGUUCUGUGCCGUAGCUAACGCAUUAAGUGCCCCGCCUGGGGAGUACGGCCGCAAGGCUAAAACUCAAAGGAAUUGACGGGGGCCCGCACAAGCGGCGGAGCAUGCGGAUUAAUUCGAUGCAACGCGAAGAACCUUACCAAGGCUUGACAUGUACGAGAAAGCCCCAGAGAUGGGGUUCUCUUUGGACACUCGUACACAGGUGGUGCAUGGUUGUCGUCAGCUCGUGUCGUGAGAUGUUGGGUUAAGUCCCGCAACGAGCGCAACCCUUAUCCUAUGUUGCCAGCGGGUUAUGCCGGGGACUCAUGGGAGACUGCCGGGGUCAACUCGGAGGAAGGUGGGGAUGACGUCAAAUCAUCAUGCCCCUUAUGUCUUGGGCUUCACGCAUGCUACAAUGGCCGGUACAGAGGGCUGCGAUACCGUGAGGUG